AGUGAACGCUGGCGGUAGGCCUAACACAUGCAAGUCGAACGGCAGCACAGUAAGAGCUUGCUCUUACGGGUGGCGAGUGGCGGACGGGUGAGGAAUACAUCGGAAUCUACUUUUUCGUGGGGGAUAACGUAGGGAAACUUACGCUAAUACCGCAUACGACCUACGGGUGAAAGCAGGGGAUCUUCAGACCUUGCGCGAUUGAAUGAGCCGAUGUCGGAUUAGCUAGUUGGCGGGGUAAAGGCCCACCAAGGCGACGAUCCGUAGCUGGUCUGAGAGGAUGAUCAGCCACACUGGAACUGAGACACGGUCCAGACUCCUAAGGGAGGCAGCAGUGGGGAAUAUUGGACAAUGGGCGCAAGCCUGAUCCAGCCAUACCGCGUGGGUGAAGAAGGCCUUCGGGUUGUAAAGCCCUUUUGUUGGGAAAGAAAAGCAGCAGGUUAAUACCCCGCUGUUCUGACGGUACCCAAAGAAUAAGCACCGGCUAACUUCGUG
RNAcentral lists this ribosomal RNA (492 nucleotides) under uncultured bacterium. RNAcentral's name for it is "partial 16S ribosomal RNA". It matches the Rfam family "Bacterial small subunit ribosomal RNA", at positions 29 to 507 of the family's 1533-position model. The record is from RNAcentral.